UUGAUGCCGCGUGAGUGAAGAAGGCCUUUGGGUUGUAAAGCUCUUUUGUAGGGGAAGAUAAUGACUGUACCCUAAGAAUAAGGUCCGGCUAACUUCGUGCCAGCAGCCGCGGUAAUACGAAGGGACCUAGCGUAGUUCGGAAUUACUGGGCGUAAAGCGCGCGUAGGCCGUUGAGUUAGUUAAUUGUGAAAUUCCAAAGCUUAACUUUGGAACUGCAAUUAAAACUGCUCGACUAGAGUUUGAUAGAGGAAAGCGGAAUACAUAGUGUAGAGGUGAAAUUCGUAGAUAUUAUGUAGAACACCAGUUGCGAAGGCGGCUUUCUGGGUCAACACUGACGCUGAGGCGCGAAAGUAUGGGUAGCAAAGAGGAUUAGAUACCCUCGUAGUCCAUACCAUAAACGAUGAUUGCUAGAUGUUGGAAAUUUAUUUUCAGUAUCGCAGCUAACGCAUUAAGCAAUCCGCCUGGGGAGUACGACCGCAAGGUUAAAACUCAAAUGAAUUGACGGGGACCCGGACAAGCGGUGGAGCAUGUGGUUUAAUUCGAAGAUACGCGCAGAACCUUACCAACCUUGACAUGUCUGUCGCGAGUU
This 589-nucleotide ribosomal RNA is filed under the name uncultured bacterium. RNAcentral describes it as "bacterial SSU rRNA". It matches the Rfam family "Bacterial small subunit ribosomal RNA", at positions 391 to 1001 of the family's 1533-position model. The record is from RNAcentral.